This 437-nucleotide ribosomal RNA is filed under the name Staphylococcus aureus. Its description in RNAcentral is "partial 23S ribosomal RNA". It matches the Rfam family "Bacterial large subunit ribosomal RNA", at positions 20 to 450 of the family's 2925-position model. Lineage: Bacteria; Bacillati; Bacillota; Bacilli; Caryophanales; Staphylococcaceae. The record is from RNAcentral.
CACGGUGGAUGCCUUGGCACUAGAAGCCGAUGAAGGACGUUACUAACGACGAUAUGCUUUGGGGAGCUGUAAGUAAGCUUUGAUCCAGAGAUUUCCGAAUGGGGAAACCCAGCAUGAGUUAUGUCAUGUUAUCGAUAUGUGAAUACAUAGCAUAUCAGAAGGCACACCCGGAGAACUGAAACAUCUUAGUACCCGGAGGAAGAGAAAGAAAAUUCGAUCCCCUUAGUAGCGGCGAGCGAAACGGGAAGAGCCCAAACCAACAAGCUUGCUUGUUGGGGUUGUAGGACACUCUAUACGGAGUUACAAAGGACGACAUUAGACGAAUCAUCUGGAAAGAUGAAUCAAAGAAGGUAAUAAUCCUGUAGUCGAAAAUGUUGUCUCUCUUGAGUGGAUCCUGAGUACGACGGAGCACGUGAAAUUCCGUCGGAAUCUGGGAG